UACGGGGGGGGCAAGCGUUGUUCGGAAUUACUGGGCGUAAAGGGCUCGUAGGCGGCCAACUAAGUCGGACGUGAAAUCCCUCGGCUUAACCGGGGAACUGCUUCCGAUACUGGAUGGCUUGAGUGUGGAAGAGGGUCGCGGAAUUCCCGGUGUAGAGGUGAAAUUCGUAGAUAUCGGGAGGAACACCAGUGGCGAAGGCGGCGACCUGGGCCAAUACUGACACUGAGGUGCGAAAGCGUGGGGAGCAAACAGG
Molecule: ribosomal RNA, 253 nt
Filed under: uncultured bacterium
Lineage: Bacteria
Description: partial 16S ribosomal RNA
Rfam family: Bacterial small subunit ribosomal RNA
Source: RNAcentral